Molecule: ribosomal RNA, 458 nt
Filed under: uncultured bacterium
Lineage: Bacteria
Description: partial 16S ribosomal RNA
Rfam family: Bacterial small subunit ribosomal RNA
Source: RNAcentral
CCUACGGGAGGCAGCAGUGAGGAAUAUUGGUCAAUGGGCGAGAGCCUGAACCAGCCAAGUCGCGUGAGGGAGUACUGCCCUAUGGGUUGUAAACCUCUUUUGUCGGGGAGCAAAAGCCGGACGUGUCCGGCUGUGAGAGUACCCGAAGAAACAGCAUCGGCUCACUCCGUGCCAGCAGCCGCGGUAAUACGGAGGAUGCGAGCGUUAUCCGGAUUUAUUGGGUUUAAAGGGUGCGCAGGCGGGUUUUUAAGUCAGCGGUAAAAUCGUGGGGCUCAACCCCAUCCAGCCGUUGAAACUGGGGAUCUAGAGUGUGCGAGAGGUAUGCGGAAUGCGUGGUGUAGCGGUGAAAUGCAUAGAGAUCACGCAGAACCCCGAUUGCGAAGGCAGCAUACCGGUGCACAACUGACGCUCAGGCACGAAAGCGUGGGUAUCGAACAGGAUUAGAUACCCCAGUAGUC